This 15871-nucleotide long non-coding RNA is filed under the name Homo sapiens (human). Its description in RNAcentral is "HSALNT0290234". Lineage: Eukaryota; Metazoa; Chordata; Mammalia; Primates; Hominidae. The record is from RNAcentral.
GCAGAGCUUUCCGCUCGUCCCAGCUGCACCUCGGUCCUGCAGGCCGUCCGCCUGGCGCAGCUGUAGCCAUAGCAACUCACGCAGGACCGCGCUUUACAGUUUACCAGGCACUCGGACGCCUUUGGCGCGAGCGCCCGUCGCUCCUUCCUCAGGUCACUGCGGUGCACCGUGCGGGUCCGCGUCGUGUCCUCCGCUCCGGAGCAGGGACCGGGCGUGCUCGUUCAGUCCUGUGCGCACUCGGAAUGGGGCCGGGGAAGGCUGAGCCUCAGGGCGACCCUGAUGUGGAGCCGUGCGACCGCUCACUGCGGUUGAAGAGACCCAGGCGCAGACAGCGCAGGCGGGGUAUGUAUUGGUUGGAGUAUGAUGGGGUCAGGACUUGAGUCUUUUACCCAGGCCCGGAGUUAACGGUAUUGAACCCCUUCUCAUUUUGUAGAGGCUAUGUGACCCGCGAGAUGGACCAGGUUAAAUGCAGAGGCAGAUACAAAAAACCAGCCAUCUUAAGCCAGACAUUUGCAAAGUAGCCAAGCAGCGCUUCUUAUCUUACUGAGUCCCUUCUUGCUAGGAGGAAAUUGUUAUUCAGAAGUUUGAGUUUUAGAUUUUUUUUGUUUUUUUUGAGACGGAGUCUCGCACUGUCGCCCGGGCUGGAAUGCAGUGGUGUGAUCUCAGCUCACUGCACCUUCCGCCUCCCGGGUUCAAGCAAUUUUCCUGCCUCAGCCUCCCAAGUAGCUGGGAUUACAGGCGCCCGCCACCACGCCCAGCUAAUUUUUGUAUUUUUAGUAGAGAUGGGGUUUCACCAUCUUGGCCAGGCUGGUCUCAAACUCCUGACCUCGUGAUCCGCCCGCCUUGGCCUCCCAAAGUGCUGAGAUUACCGGCGUGAGCCACCGUGCCCGGCCUUUUUUUGAUGUCAUUGUUGAGAUGGAGUCUGGCUGUGUCUCCAGGCUGGAGGGCAGUGGCGCGAUCUGGGCUCACUGCAACCUCCACCUCCCAGGUUCAAGCGAUUCUCCUGCCUCAGCCUCCCAAGUAGCUGGGACUACAGGUGUGUGCCACCAUGCCCAGCUAAUGUUUUUAUUUUUAGUAGAGACAGGGUUUCACCAUGUUGGCCAGGCUGGUCUCGAACUCCUAACCUCAAGUGAUCCACCCACCUCAGCCUCCCAAAGUUCUGGGAUUAGAGGUGUGAGCCACUGUGCCCGGCCGGUUUUUAAUUUUUAUAAAGACCAGGUCUUUGCUCUGUUGCCCAGGCUGGAGUGCAGUGGCAUGACCAUAGCUUACUGCAGCCUUGAACUCCUGAGGUCGAGCAAUCUUCUAGCCUCAACUUCCUGAGUAGCUAGGACUACAGGCAUGCAACACCAUGCCCGGCUAAGACAUCCUACUUUAAAAUAUGUCAAACUUCACAGCACAGUUCUUUUUUUAAAAUACAGAUUUAAUGAGAUAAUUUACAUGUCAUACAAUUCAAACAUUGUAAGUACACAUUUGGAUGACCUUUAAUUUAUACUGUUGUGUAGCCAUCACCAUAAUCCACUUAUAGAAAACUUCCAUCACCCCAAAACGUUCCCUUGGGCCUAUUUGUAGUCAGUCUCUGCUCUCACCCCCAGCCAACCUCUGAUCUACUUUGCAUGGUUUUUGCCUUUUCCAGAAAUUUCAUAGAAAUGGAAUAAUAGCAUAUAAUUUUUUUGGUCUGGCUUCUUUCACUUAGCAUCACGUUUCUGAGGCUCAUCUGUGUUGUAGGUAUGAGUGGUUUGUUCCUUUUCAUUGCUGAGUGGUAUUCCAUUAAUGCAAUUGUGUCAUCAUUUGCUUAUCCAUUUAUCUGUUGAUAGACAUUUGGAUUGUUUCUAGUUUGGGAAAUAAAUAAUUCUGUUUUGAACUCAUGUACAAAUUGUUGUUUUCAUUUCUUUUGUGUGUGUGUGUGUGAGAUGGAGUCUCACUCUGUAGCCCAAGCUAGAGUGCAGUGGCACGAUCUCGGCUUACUGAAACCUUUGCCUCUGGGGCUCAAGUGAUUCUCCUGCCUCAGCCUCCCAAGUAGCUGGGACUAGAGGUGUGCCCCACCACACCCGGUUAAUUUUUUUGUAUUUUUAGUGGAGACGGGGUUUUACCAUGUUGCCCUGGGUGGUCUGGAGAGCUACCACCUUAGCCUCCCAAAGUGCUGGCAUUACAGGUGUGAGCCACCACACCCAGCCUGUUGUUUUCAUUUCUUUUAGACAUAUACUUAGGAGUGGAUUGCUGGGUUUUAAGGUAAGUGUAACUUUUUAAGAAACUGCUGGCCAGGUGUGGUGGCUCACACCUGUAAUCCUAGCACUUUGUGGGGCCAAGACAGGUGGAUCACUUGAGCCCAGGAGUUGAAGUCCAGCCUGGGCAACAUGGUAUAACCCUGUGUCUACUAAAAAUACAAAAAUUAACCCGUCGUGGUGGCACAUGCCUGUAAUCCCAGCUACUCAGGAGGCUGAGGCAGGAGAAUUGCUUGAACCCGGGAGGUGGAGGGCUCUACUAAAAAUAGAAAAACUGAGGUGGGAGGAUCACCUGAACCUGGGGAGGUCAAGGCUGCAGGGAGCCAUAAUUGUGCCUGCACUCCAGGUCUCGCCCUGUCGCCCAGGCUGGAGUGCAGUGGCGUGAUCUCGGCUCACUGCAACCUCUGCCUCCUGGGUUCAAGAAAUUGUCCUGCCUCAGCCUCCCAAGUAGCCAGGACUACAGGUGCACGCCACCACGCCCAGCUAAUUUUUUGUAUUUUAGUAGAGACAGGGUUUCACUGCAUUGUCCAGGCUGGUCUUGAAUCCCUGAGCUCAGGGAAUCUCCCCCCUCAGCUUCUCAAAGUGCUAGGAUUACAGGCAUGGGCCACCACACCCGGCCGAUAUAAAACUUUUAACAAAACCCCAGACUUUAUUCCAAUGACAAUUUUUCUGCUGGGCAUGGCGGUUCACGCCUGUAAUCCCAGCAUUUUGGGAGGCUGAGGUGGGAGAAUCACUUGAGCCCAGGAGUUGGAGACCAGCCUGAGCAACAUAGUGAGACCCCCAUCUCUACUUAAAAAAACAAAAAUUAAAAAUAAGACUAGCCAGGUGUGGUGGUGCAUGCCUGUAGUCCCAGCUACUCGAGAGGGUUAGGUGGAAAGACUGCUUGAGGCUGGGACAUUGAGGCUGCAAUGAGUCAUGAUGGUACCACUGCACUCCAGCCUGAGUGACAGAGCCAAAACCCUGUCUCAAAAAAAAAAAAGAAAAAAAAAAAAGGCCAAGCACGGUGGUCCACACCUGCACUUAUAGUCCCAGCACUUUGGAAGGCCGAGGCAGGAGUAUCACUUGAGCCCAGGGUUGGAGAACAGCCUGGGCAACAUGGCGGAAACCCAUCUCUACCAAAAAAAAAAAAUUCAAAAAUUAUGGCCGGGCACAGUGGCCCAUGGCUGUAAUCCCAGCAUUUUAGGAGGCCAAGGCAGGCAGAUCACUUGAGCCUAGGAGUUCAAGACCAGUCUGGCCAAACUGGCAAAACCCCAUCUCUACUAAAAAUCCCAGCUACUCAGGAGGCUGAGGCAGGAGAAUUGCUUGAACCUGGGAGGUGCCACUGCACUCCAGCCUGGGCAAUAGGGUGAGACUCAGUCUCAAAAAAAAAAAAGUGUCAUUUACAAUAACAUCAAAAGAAUAAAAUAUUUGGAAUAAGAUAUUGAAUUUAAUAAAAUAAGUCCAAAGCCUAUACACUCAAAACCACAAAACAUUGCUGAAGCAAAUUACAGAUCUAAAUAAGACAUUGUAACAUGUUAACGGAUUUGCAAGACUCAAUAUCACACUGGCAUGAUCUCGGCUCACUACAGGCUCCACCUCCCAGGUUUAAGCGAUUCUCCUGCCUAAGGCUCCUGAGUAGCUGGGAUUACAGGCAAGUGCCACCACAUCCAGCUAAUUUUUUUUUUUUUUUUUUUUUUUUUAGUAGAGACAGCAUUUCAUUAUGUUGGCUAGGCUGGUCUCGAACUCCUCACCUCAAGUGAUCUGCCUGCCUCGGCCUCCCAAAGUGCGGGGAUUACAGGCGUUGAGCCACUGUACUGGGCCUAUCAUGGAUUUUCAAUUGUAUAUUUUUCCUUUCAAUUCUGUUUUUGAGACUAAUGUUAGCAGUGUAUAUAUUUAUAAUGGCUAAAUCUUCAUAAUGUAUUGAUAUAGCCAUUAUCAUCAUAAAAUGUUCCUUUAUGUUUCUAAUAUUAAUACUACUAUUAAAGUCUAUGCUGAGUUAAAUGUAUGCAGGAAGAACUUGGGGAAAAAGGCCAUGUUGACUGUUGUUCAUAUAGCUAUUCCUGCUCUCUUGUGAUUCUUGAUUGCAUGGUAUAUCUUUUCACUUUCACUCUAUUAUUUGUGUCUUUGAAUCUAAAGGAUCUCUUGUAGAUAGCAUAUAGUUGAAUCUUGCUUUUUUAUACAGUUUUACAGUCUGUGCCCUUUGGAAUAUUUAGUCCAUUCAUGUUUAAUGUAAUUGUUGAUAUGGUUGAAUAUAUGGAUGACAUUUUAAUACUUGUUUUCUAUAUUUCUCAUCUUUGUUGUCCCUUUGUUUCUCUUUAAUUCUUUUUUGAGAUGGAGUCUCACUCUGUCGCCCAGGCUGGAGUGCAGUGGCACCAUCUCAGUUCACUGCAACCUCCACCUCACGGGUUAAAGCAAUUCUCCUGUUUUAAGCCUGCCAAGUAGCUGGGAUUACAGGCAUGCCACCAUGACUGGCUAAUUUUUGCAUUUUUAGUAGAGACAGGGUUUCACCAUGUUGGCCAGGCUGGUCUUGAGCUCCUGACCUCAGGUGAUCUGCCUGCCUCGGCCUCCCCAAGUGCUGGAAUUACUGGCGUGAGCCACCACGCCUGGCUUCUUUAACUCCUUUUUCUGUGUUACAUUUGUGUAUGUGUAUGUAUGUAUUAUCCUGAUCCCAAAGUUGAAGGGUUUUUUCCUUUUAGUUAUAUGUUUGAGUUACUUUCUGUGUGGUUGUCUAGGGAUUGCAGUAUGUAGCUUUAACUUAUUACAGUAUAUUUCAGCUCAAUACUGAAAAUUCUGGUAAAAUACAGUAACUUUACUACCCUUCCCUUGCUCUUCCUUUGUGUUAUAUAUAUAUCUUUAUAUGUUAUAAACCCAGCAAUGUGUUAUAACUGGUUUAAACAACCUUGUUUUUUAAAAAAUUAAAAAAGAGAGAAAAAUAUAAAGUAUAAAAGAGAAAUAUAGGGAGGCCGAGGUGGGCAGAUCACGAGGUCAGGAGAUCGAGACCAUCCCGGCUAACUUGGUGAAACCCCGACUCUACUAAAAAUACAAAAAAUUAGCUGGGUGUGGUGGCGUGCACCUGUAGUCCCAGCUACUCAGGAGGCUGAGGAAGGAGAAUUGCUUGAACCCGGGAGGCGGAGGCUUCAGUGAGCCGGGAUUGUGCCACUGCACUCCAGUCUGAGCAACAGACCAAGACACUGUCUCAAAAAAAAAAAAAAAAAAAGAGAAAUAUAUAGUGUUUUACAUUUAGCUGCCUUCAUCAUUCUAGUGCUCCAUGCCUUCUGGUGAAUUCAAGAUAUUGUUCUAGUGUCCUUUUCUUUUAGGCUGAAGGACUUCCUUUAGUACUUCUUUUUUUUUUUUUUUUGGAGACAGAAUUUUGCUCUUGUCAACCAUGCUGGAGUGCAGUGGCUCAAUCUCGGCUCACCACAACCUCUGCCUCCCAGGUUCAAGCGAUUCUUCUGCCACAGCCUCCCAAGUAGCUGGGAUUACAGGCAUGUGCCAUCAUGCCUGGCUAAUUUUGUAUUUUUAGUAGAGAUGGGGUUUCUCCAUGUUGGUCAGGCUGGUCUCGAACUUCCGACCUCAGGUGAUCUGCCUGCCUUGGCCUCAGAAAGUGCUGAGAUUACAGGAGUGAGCCACCACACCCGGCCCCUUUAGUACCUCUUUUAGGAGAGGUCUGCUAGCAAUAAUUCUCUUAUUCUCCCUUUUUAAAAAUCUCAGAAUGUCUUUAUUUCACCUUUUUCUUGGGACAGGGUCUUGGUCUGUCACCCAGUCUGGAGUGCUGUGGUUUGAACAUAGCUUACUGUACCCCCAACCUCCUGGGCUCAAGCAGUUCUCCCACUUCAGCCUCCCAAGUAGCUAGGACCGCAGGUGGGUGCCACCAUGUCUGGCUAAUUUUUAAAAUUUUUCUGUAGAGGCUGGUCUGGUCCUCCUGGGCGCAAGCAAUCCUGCUUCAGACUCCCACAGUGCUGGGAGUACAGGUGUGAGCCACCGCACCCGGCCUCACCUUCACUUUUGAAGGCUAGUUUUGCUGUAUAUAAAAUUAUUGGGUGAUUGUUUUUUCCUUUCAGCACUUUGAAUAUCCAUUGCAGUGGCUUUAGCCUUUACUGUUUCUGAUGAGCAGUUAAGCAUUUUUUUUUUUUUUUUUUUUUUUUCAGAGACAGGGUGUUGCUCUGUUGCCCAGGCUGGGGUGCAGUGGCACAAUCACAGUUCACGGCAACCUUGACCUCCUGGGCUCAAGCAAUCCCACCUCAGCCCCCAAAAUGAGUGGGACUACAGGUUCACGCCACCAUGCCUGGCUAAUUUUUGUAUUUUUAAUAGAGAUGGAGUUUCACCAUGUUGGCCAUGGCUGGUCUCAAACUCCUGAUCUCAAGUGAUCUGCCCACCUUGGCCUCCCAAAGUGCUAGGAUUACAGGUGUGAGCCACCACACCCAGCCCAGAUUUUUGUUUCUUUUCUUUUUCCUUUUUUUUUUUGACACAGGGACUCGCUCUGUUGUCCAGCCUGAAGUGCAGUGGCUCACUGCAGUCUUGAACUCCUGGGCUCAAGCAAUCCUCCCAUCUCAGCCUCCCAAGUUGUUGGGACUACAGGUGCACACCACCGUGUCUGGCCUUUUUUUUUUUUUUUUUUUUUUUUAAGAGACAAGACGAGAUCUCUCUCUGUUGCCCAGGCUGGUCUCAAACUCCUGGACUUAAAUAAUCCUCCCACCUUGGCGUCCCAAAGUGCUAGGAUUACAGGUUGAGCUACUGCACCCAGAUUUUUUUUAUUCUUUAGGUUUUAGCUUGACUUCCUGAUGGUUGCCUUGUGUCUCCAUAACUUAGUGGCCAAAGAUCUGGGAAGAGGUUGUGCUCAAACACCUUGGCUGUGCUCAGAUAUUUAGGCCUAUCUGGGUGGGUUGGCGGUGCAUUCAGGGAUCACCUACUUCUUAAAUCUCCCUUGGCUUUUUUUUUUUUUUUUUUUUGAGACAGAAUUUUGCUCUUGCUCCCCAGGCUGGAGUGCAGUGGUGGGAUCUUGGCUCACUGCAACCUCUGCCUCCUGGGUUCAAGCGAUUCUCCUACCUCAGCCUCCCAAGUAGCUGGGAUUACAGGCACCUGCUACCAUGCCUGGCUAAUUCUUUGUAUUUUUAGUAGAGACGGGGUUUCACCAUGUUGGCCAGGCUGGUCUUGAACUCCUGACCUCAGGUGAUCCACCCGCCUCUGCCUCCCAGAGUGCUGGGAUUACAGCGUGAGCCCACCACAACCAGCCUCCCUUGACUUUUAACAUUUUUCUUUUUCUUUUUUUUUUUUUUGAGAUGGAGUUUCACUCUGUCACCCAGGCUGGAGUGCAAUGAUGCAAUCUCAGCUCACUGCAACCUCCGCCUCCUGGGUUCAAGCGAUUCUCCUGCCUCAUCCUCCCAAGUAGCUGGGAUUACAGGCAUGCACCACCACGCCUGGCUAAUUUUUGUAUUUUCAGUAGAGACGGGGUUUUGCUGUGUUAGCCAGGCUAGUCUUGAACUCCUGACCUCAGGUGAUCUGCCUACCUUGGCCUCCCAAAGUGCUGGGAUUACAGGUGUGAGCCAUGGUGCCCAGCUCUCCCUUGGCUUUUAAUUUCUAUGGGCUUUCUGAAGUCUCAUCUGUGUACGUGUCUGGUUUUCCAGCCAGCGAGUGAUGUGCUGAGGUCCUGUCUAAUCCUUUUGUGGCAUUCUCAUUUCCAGAGUCUCCUAGAUUUCUAGCUAGUCUGCUACUUGAGAUCUCAGGCUAGUAAGCUGUGGGUUUCUUUCUCAAGAAACGGCUUUCUCAAGCCGUUUAUUUCUCAAGAACUUUGCCACUUUUAGCUGAUAAAAAAGUACACUUCUUGAGGCCGGGUGCGGUGGCUCACGCCUGUAAUCCCAGCACUUUGGGAGGCUGAGGAGGGCGGAUCACAAGGUCAGGAGUUUGAGACCAGCCUGACCAAAAUGGUGAAACCCCGUCUCUACUAAAAAUUGAAAAAUUAGCCAGGUAUGGUGGCAGGCGCCUGUAGUCCCAGCUACUCGGGAGGCUGAGGCAGGAGAAUGGCGUGAACCCGGGAAGCGGAGCUUGCAGUGAGCUGAGAUCGCGCCACUGCACUCCAUCCUGGGCGACAGAGUGAGACUCCAUUUAAAAAAAAAAAAAAAAAAAAAAAGGUACACUUCUCGGCCCGGGUCAGUGGCUCACACCUGUAAACCCAGCACUUUGGGAGGCCGAUUUAGGAGGCCGAGGUGGAGGAUCACCUGAGGUCGGGAGUUUGAGACCAGCCUGACCAACAAGGAGAAACCCCAUCUCUACUAAAAAUAAAAAAUUAGCCGCAGUGGUGCAUGCCUGUAAUCCCAGCUACUGGGGAGGCUGAGGCAAAAGAAUUGCUUGAACCUGGGAGGCAGAUGUUGCAGUGAGCCGAGAUCGUGCCACUGCACUCCAGCCUGGGCAACAAGAGCAAAACUCCGUCUCAAAAAAAAAAAAGUUCUAGCACUUUUUUUUUCUUUAUCUUUUUCUUUUCUUUUGAUACUAAGUUUCGCUCUUGUUGCCCAGUCUGGAGGGCAGUGGUGCUAUCUUGGCUCACCGCAACCUCCGCCUCCCAGGUUCAAGCGAUUCUCCUGUCUCAGCCUCCCAAGUUGCUGGGAUUACAGGCAUGAGCCACCAUGCCUGGCUAAUUUUUUUGUAUUUUUCGUAGAGACAUGGGUUUCACCAGGUUGGUCAGGCUGGUCUCGAACUCCUGACCUCAGGUGAUCCACCUGCCUAGGCGUCCCAAAGUGCAGGGAUUACAGGCGUGAGCCACUCUUUUUCUUUUUAUUAUUCAUUAUUAUUUUUUGUAGAGACAGGGUCUUGCUUGGUUGCAUAGGCUGGCCUUGAACUCCUGGCCUCCAGCCAACUUCCCACCUUUGCUUCCCAAAGUGUUGGGAGAUUACAGGUGCAAGCUACCGUGCCCAGCCAGUUUUUUCUCAAGAAUAAAUGCUUCUUAAUUUGCCUGCCUUUGGUUGAUGUCCAGAACCUUGAAAUGUUUUUGGUAUAUAUUUUUUCCAAUUUUAUGCUUUUUUAUUUUUGUAGAGUGCAUUCCCUAUUCUCUUCACGCUGCAGCAGCCAGCAGUCCCUCCACAGCACUGUCCUUGUCCUUUUGUCUGUGGUUAAGGCCUUCCUCCAGAGUCCGCCAGAAAGUAGUCAGGGUCUGUGGGCUUUUACUGAAGGCCCUGACCACAGGGCAUGCUGCAAUAAUAGAUCCUGUGCUGGGUGCUGCCUCUGCUGGCAUUUCUCUUUCACAGGCUGGAUUUGGGACCUCAGCCUUACAGGAAAUAAGGAGACUGAGGAUCAGAAAAUGUGGAGAGAAGCCUCAAUAGAAAGGACACACAGGCUCACACCUGUAACUCCAGCACUUUGUGAGGCCGAGGCGGGUGGAUCACCUGAGGUCAAGAGUUUGAGACCACCAACAUGGCAAAACCCCGUCUCUACUAAAAAUACAAAAAAUUAGCCAGGCGUGUUGGUGGGCGCCUGUAAUCCCAGCUACUCGGGAGGCUGAGGCAGGAGAAUCACUUGAACCCAGGAGGCAGAGGUUGCAGUGAGCCGAGAUCACGCAACUACACUCCAGCCUGGACCACAAGAGUGAAACUCGUCUCAAAAAAAACCCCCCCAAAAUUAGCUGGGCGUGGUGGUGCAUCCUGUAGUCCCAGCUACUUAGGAGGCUGAGGCCUAAGAAUUGCUUGAACCCAGUGGUAAGGGUGGGGGACAGAGGUUGCAGUGAGCCAAGAUCAUGCCAUUGCACUCCAGCCUGGGCAACAGAAUGAUGCUCUGUCUCAAAAAAAGGACAAAAGGACUGAGAGCCUCCUCAAACUCCUGCCUUGCUCCAGAGGCUCACAGCAGUCCUCAGGCUGCUUGACGACAGGGAUGCCACUGCCUGCCUGUCCUGCUUCCUUCCCAGGGUGGGCACAGCAAAAUGAGCUAAUGUCCAUGAAAGUUCCUUUUAAACUUAAGACUGCUCCACAAUUUUCAUAUUUAUUAAUAUUCUCUAACGUGACAAACUCAGCUCAGGGAAGUUGAACUUCCCAGCUAGUUAGUGGCGGAGGUGAACUUUAACCCAAGUCUACUUACUAGGGCCAAGCCCAGCAUUCUUUCCCAAUAGGGUUAGCAGGACAUAAUCAUGUAUACUCACAGUGACUGUGUUCCCAAUGAACCUGGGUAUGUCUGCAUUUUAGAGAUGUUUCAUUGACUUUCAACGGAAAGCUGGAUUUUGGAGAACAAACAGUACUUGCAGAAAUUUCACAAGUAGAACUUCACACAAUGGCUCCCUUAAAAGAACCUUGGUGACAGGCAUCCUUUUCAACUUUGUUGCAGCUGCUUCCUCUUUCUAUGGGGCUCAGUUACAAGGAAAGCCUACCAUCAGACUUUCUUGCAGGAACAAAUUGAUUGCUUUAGUCUGAGAUUUAGCAAGGGAGAAAUUAUGCUGAGUCAAUGUGAAUAAUUUAACCAAGUUACUACUGAAGAGAUUUUAUGCAAACAUAUUGCAUAAAAUCAAUAUGUAUCUAAUCAUAUAGUCAUGUUUUCCCUUCUAAUAAUGUUACAUGCUACACAAACUUUCCAUUUCCAUGUUAAGGUUCUAAUCAGCAGUAAAAAAUACUGCUUCUCAGAAUUGCUGGAAAACUACAGUAAGCUGGCUUGGGAGAGCAGGACUGGAACAAAGGCAAGUCUCCCCCUGGGGAUGAACAGAAUCAAGCCAGGGCGCGCUAGAGCUGUGUCAGGCUGACUUAGCUUUUUAGUUGUUAGAAACUCAAGUGCUUGGCUUAAAAUGCUUAAGAAAGUCAACCCACAUUAUUAUCCACCAGAAAAACUUUCUGGCUUGCCCUAACUCCCCAAAUCCCAAAUCAAAGCAUGAGCACAAGUUCUACAAGAACAGCCCUCUAUGCAAACCUCCCAGGGUGGAAUCCUAGUUUGAUUUACGUAAGAGGGUGUGUAAAGCAACAUACCAGUAAGGGCAGAUUUGAAAAUCCCAGCUCUGACACUCACUCAACUAAAUAAUUCUCGUAGCUGAACUCAAACUGAACUCAAAUGACCUGAAUAUAUUUUAGGUGGAAAGAGUACUUUUUUUUUUUUUGAGACGUGGUCUUGCCCUGUUGCCUGGGCUAGGCUGGAACUCCUGGGCUCAGAGGAGCUUGCAUGAAAUGAUGCCUUUCAUUUACAGGCACAUGCCACUAUGCCCAGCUCCUUUUUUUUUUUUUUUUUUUUUUUGAGACAGGGUCUUGCUUUGUUACCCAGGCGCCAGUGGCACCAUCAUAGCUCACUGCAGUCUCAAACUCCUGGGCUCAAGGGAUCCUCCCAUCUCAGCUUCCUGAGUAGCUGAGGCUACAGGUGUGUACCACCAUGCCCAGUUAAUUGUUUUUAUUUUUUGUAGAAAUGGGGGCUCACUAAGUUGCCCAGGCUGGUUUUGAGCUCUGGCUUCAAGUGAUCCUCCUGCCACGGCCUCUCAAAGUGCUGGGAUUACAGGUGUAAGCCACCAUGCCUGCUCCCCCCGCCUUUUUUUUUUUUUUUUUUUUUUUUUAAAGAAACAGGUUCUUGCUUUGUUGCCCAUGCUGGCCUUGAACUGCUGGACUCAAGCAAUCAUUCCACGUUAGCUUCCAGAGUAGCAGAAGGAGCAAUUCUGAAAAAGCCCAGAGGCUAUAUAUUCUCACCCCAGAGGAGUAUGCUUGUGAUGUGCUCAGAAUAGCUAAAAUGGUCUGUGCAGGGACAAGAGUUCCUAAGGGAAAGUGGAAUAUCUCCCCAUCCAACCGCAAGUGGAAUAACAAGAAGAACCAGAUAGAAAAGCAGCGCACGAGCCCGGGCCAGGCGCAGUGGCCCACACCUGUAAUCCCACCAGACAUUAACUUAAGACUGAAGAGUCCUAGCAAUCCAGAGACUUGCAGUGUUCCUAUCACUGAGCUGUCGGCAGCACUGUGGAUAUAAGCCAGGGUGCUCAGUUGGAUCUAGGACCUACCUCUCUGCUGUGCACUGGCCCCCAGUCCCUCAGGCCCACUCCACAACUCUCUCCACCUCACUGUCUUCCCCACUGCCAGGUUUUCCCUCCCAGUUCAUUUUUUCCAAUUAGUACAUGCACAAGCUAUGCUAUUUCCCUUCUUUAAAACAAAAGCCUCUCCUUUACCCCAUAUCCCCUUCCAGUUACUCCAUUUGUCUUUUCCCUUUUACAGAAAAAUCUAUGAAAGAAUUGUUUGUACUGUUUCACCCUCCUCUCCUCCCACUUUCCCUAGAACCUACUCCAAUUAGGCACCACUCAAACAAAUGCUCCCCUCACCAAUGACCUUGCUAGUGUAGAAGCACUCCUGAUGCCUCCCUCCAUGAGAAGUGAGCCCCAUUACUAGAAUGUUCCUGUGAGUCUGGAAGGAGCGGUUAGGCAUAGACUGCCUGGCCACUUCCUCCCUCUCUCUCAGAACCUCGGCUGCCUUCAGGGGACAUAUGCGCUGCGUUCCUCUUAACUUCUGCUACUCAAAGAGUGAUCCCCACAAUGGCAAUACUGACAUCACUUGGAAGCUUAUUAGAAAAGCAGAAUCUCAGGCUCCACCCAAGCCCUACUCAAUCAGAACCUGCAUUUUAGUACGAUCCCCAGGGGAUUCUGGUGCACAAUAAAGUUCAAGAAGCACUGCUCUAAACCGCCUCAUUCUGAGGUUCAGCCUUACAAAAUAAAUCCAGGCCGGGCGCGGUGGCUCACGCCUGUAAUUCCAGCACUUUGGGAGGCUGAGGCGGGCAGACCAUGAGGUCAGGAGAUCGAGACCAUCCUGGCUAACAUGGUGAAGCCCCGUCUCUACUAAAAAUACAAAAAAAAAAAUUAGCCGGGCGCGGUGGCGGGUGCCUGUAGUCCCAGCUACUGGGGAGGCUGAGGCAGGAGAAUGGUGUGAAUCUGGGAGGCGGAGCUUGCAGUGAGCCAAGAUGACACCACUGCACUCCAGCCUGGGCGACAGAGCGAGAUGCCAUCACAAAAAAAAAAGAAAAGAAAAGAAAUCCAGUGUUCCCAGAUGUAACCACAUUUUCUAACAGCAGUUUUAUCAGUAAUAAGGGUGGUAUUUUGGUCUCCCAUCUCCCAUCGUCUUAUUUUUUGUUUCUUAAUUGGUUCUGAAAUUGGGAAAAAUUAGGGUAUCCCCUGGCUCCCUCGGACUUCUUACACCUUUCAGUUAACAAAACCUGUGGUCCCUGCUCAGUCCUUCCUGUAACCUAUUGGCUGCCCUGGACAAAGCAACCACUUCCUCAGUCUUCCACACUCUCCCUCCACGGCCACUGCUUGUCCUCCUGGCUGGACUCCUCUCUCUUCCUGACCUCCAUGUGUUGGAGCGCACCAAGCUCCAAGAUCAGUCCUUGGUUCCUGUCAGCCACACACACGCUCCAGGUCUCCUUCCCUGCCUGAGGCUCGAUCUGCUAUCUUCAUGCCGCCAACUCCCAAAUGUGUGUCUCCAGCUCCAACCACUCCCCUUGAAUCCCGCUAGUCCAGCCAACUGUUUUGUUGACUAUACACUUAGGUGCAUGUGUUGGCAUCUGAAAGUGAACAUGACUCAAAUCAAAUUAUUAUUAUUAUUUUGAGACAGUUUCGCUCUCUGUUGCUCAGGCUGGAGUGCAGUGGCGUGAUCUCAGAUCACUGCAACCUCUGCCUCCUGGGUCCAAGCGGUUCUCCUGUCUCAGCCUCCCAAAUAGCUGGGAUUACAGGCGCCUGCCACCACGCCCCGCUAAUUUUUGUAUUUUUAGUAGAGACGGGGUUUCACCAUGUUGGCCAGGCUGGCCUCAAACUCCUGACCUCAGGUGAUCUGCCCGCCUCGGCCUCCCAAAGUGCUAUUUUCUUAACAGUCAGGGUCUCAACUCUGUUGACCAGGCUGGAGUGCAGUGGCAAGAUCACAGCUCACUGCAGCUUCCAACUCCUGGGCUCAAGCGAUCCUUCUGCCUUAGUCUCCUGGGUAUCUGGCACUACUGGCGUGCACCAUCAUGCCCAGCUAAUUUUUAAUUGUUUGUAGAGAUGGGGUCUCACUACAUUGCCCAGGCUGGUCGGUCUCGAAGUCUUGGGCUCCAGUGAUCCUCCCACCUUGGCUUCCCAAAGUGCUGGGAUUACAGGCAUGACCAUUCUCAGCUUUUGUUCUACCAAUUGUCUUCACCUUAGAAAACUGCAAUGCUGUUCUUUUACUCAGGCACUUACCCUUUUAGUUACUUUUCUCCUUUCUCUCCAACAACUCUGCAUGAAGUCUCUCAGAAAACUGUUCUAACUUCAAAAUGUACCUUGAAUCUGCCCAUUUCGUCCCACCUAUACUCUACUACCUUAGUCUGAGCCACCGUCUCCUCCCCUGGAAUACUGGGGUAACAAUCUUAUUUUGCCCCUUUUUUCCACUUGUCCCUGCCUGAGUACAAAGACUGUUUUCCAGAAUGGUCUUUUAAAAAUGUAAAUAAGCCCCUGUGACUCCUCUGCUCCAAAGCCUUCAAUGGCUUCCCAUUCACUCUAAUGAAAUUCCAAGUCCUCACCUAAGCCCUAAAUAUCCUGGUCCCUGGCUACUUUCUGAUGUCUUCUAUUGCGCUCCCAGUCCCUGACUCUGUACCAGCGACCUUGCUAUUUCUGGAACCUACUGAGGACACUGCUGCCUCAAGGGCUUCAUUUCUCUACUUGGAGACCUCUUUGCCCAGGGGUUUGCAUGGCUUACCCUAUCCUUUCAUUCUAGAGUCUGCUCAAAUGUGAUCUCCGAAGAGAGGCCUUCCCUGACUAUGCCAUCUAAACAUCCCUCGUUCCCAUCCCUCUUUCAUCCUUUUAUUUAGCUGCUUUCCUCCAAAAUACUUAGGACCGAUGUUGUAAAUUUGUUUAAACAUUGUCUUCCCCACUGGAAUGGGAGGGCACAAGUGCAUGGGCUUGCUUUGUUGGCUGCUGAAUUACUGCACCCAGCAGCACACCAGGCACAGGGUGGGUACUCAAAUAUUGGUUGGAACAAAUCAUUGCUUUUAACCUGAGGGCUGCUCCUCCCUCCCUUCUUCUGUUUCUCCCCAAACACCCAGGACAGUGGCCCCUGCUCAUGCUCUGCUCGUGAUGAGGGCUUGUUAAAUUAAAUUGACAUGUUCAACUUUUCAAAUCCCCAUUUACCCUUCCCCACCCAAAAAAACCCAACAUGGCCAGGCACGGUGGCUCACGCCUGUAAUCCCAGCACUUUGGGAGGCCGAGGUGGGCGGAUCACCUGAGGUCAGGAGUUUGAGACCAGUCUGGCCAAUGUGCUGAAACCCCGUCUCUACUAAAAAUAUUUUUAAAAAUUAGCCAGGUGUGGUGGCGGGCACCUGUAAUUGCAACUACCUGGGAGGCUGAGGAAAGAGAAUUGUUUGAACUGGGGAGGCAGAGGUUGCAGUGAGCUGAGAUGGUGCCAUUGCACACCAGCAUGGGUGACAAGAGUCAAACUCCAUCUCAAAAAAAUAAUUAUAGGUUGGGCACGGUGGCUCAAGCCUGUAAUCCUAGCACUUUGGGAGGCUGAGGCGGGUGGAUCACAAGGUCAGGAGCUUGAGACCAGCCUGGCCAACACAGUGAAACCCCUCUCUACUAAAAAUAAAAUCAGCCAGGCGUGAUGGAUGCCUGUAAUCCCAGCUACUUGGGAGGCUGAGGCAGGGAGAAUCGCUUGAACCCGGGAGGUGGAAAGUUGCAGUGAGCCGAGAUCAUGCCACUGUACUCCAGCCUGGACGACAGAGUGAGACUCCAUCUCAAAAUA